GCCGUAGUGCAGUAGGAGAGCAUCUGCUUUGCAUGCAGAAGGUCCCAGGUUCAAACCAUGGCAUCUCCA
RNAcentral lists this transfer RNA (69 nucleotides) under Podarcis lilfordi (Lilford's wall lizard). Its description in RNAcentral is "tRNA.Ala". It matches the Rfam family "tRNA". From Rfam's summary of the family: Transfer RNA (tRNA) molecules are approximately 80 nucleotides in length. Their secondary structure includes four short double-helical elements and three loops (D, anti-codon, and T loops). Lineage: Eukaryota; Metazoa; Chordata; Lepidosauria; Squamata; Lacertidae. The record is from RNAcentral.